CCCUAACAUAGCUAAAACUAAAAACAAACUAAAAACUACUUCCAAAAAUAUUCAGCUUUGAUAUUAAUGAGUUUUUUGGGUUCAUUGAGAACAUGGUUGUUGUUCAAUAAUAAAAUUAAUCCUCAAAAAUACAACUUGCCUAAUAAUUCUGUACUCCCUGUAAAUACUUUUUUACCCCUCAACAUCUAAUCCCACCCUCAAAACGUUUGUAAGGAAAUUACACACAUAUAUGACACAGAUUUUGUCUUCACUCAACCACAGCCAUGCUAACAUCACCAAACGAGAAAGAUUGGGGUUGGAAAGACUUUCCAGAGCUCCUAACAUCAUCAUAAGACCGGCUAAUAAAAGUGGCAAUACUGUUAUAAUGAAUUAUGGUGAUUACUGCACCAAUAUCAUUGGACAACCUGUCUGCUGCUUGCACCUACAAUAGGGCUAAUCAUUACCCAGGCAUUGAAUUUGCACGUAUACUUUGAGAAACACUUGAGGAUGUUUCACAGAGGUCAACUAUUUCAAAUGACCUUCUGAAUUACGUAUUUGUCUAAGUGUACACAGCUCCAGAAAAUUCACAAGAAUGCCCAAUGUCUACCAAGGAGAUUUAUUGGCUCUGCUAAAAGAAGUCUCCUGGAAUAAGUUUCGGGAAUGGCUGGAUUCUAUUUUGAAAGAACCUGUCACUUCUUUCCCCACCUGUGUCAAAGAUACUGGGGUAGUAAGACUCAAUGAUUUACAUAUACCACAUAUGGAAAUUAUCCUAGUCACAAUGGAUGUGUACAGCCUCUACACGGUCAUCCCACAUGCAAAGGGGAUCAAGGCUGUGGAGGAAGUGCUGUCUGGGGCACUUGAACCAGUAAAGUAUCCUACUGAUUCUGUUUUUGCACUGUUGAGACUAACCUUGAAAAUUAAUUAUUUCCAAAUUGAGGAUAGAUUCCAUGUACAACAAACUGGCAUGUCCAUGGUUACGGCUAUGGUGCUUAUGUACACCAAUGCCUUUAUGUAGAUAUAUGAGAGAGAUCAGAUAUUAAAUAUAUUUUCACAAAAUAUCGUCACCUUCAUGCAUUUCAUCUACUUCAUUUUUUUGGUGUAGAAAGGCGAGGCGCAUGAAUUGGAACAUAUGUUGUUAUACUUGAAGUCACUGCAAUCCACAGUUUGGUUUACUUAUAAGUUUAGUACAGACAGACAACAUUGAUUUUCUGAAUUUGAGCAUUAGCCAAAUCAAUGGGCACUUGGUAUUCAGUUUAUGCAGAAAACCCACUGAUCGCAAUACACUUCCAUCCUCUGAGACAUAAGCAGUCUCUCCCCAUCUCUCCAUUUAAGCAAGUGAUGCAGCAGAAUUGAAAGCAAUAGGCAGAGCUAGAGAGCGAAUUGCUCCACAAUUAGUUAACGCAGUGGAGCAGACGGAUCUUCUCUAAUAAGAGGUGCACCAAUUUCACUGAGAUACCAAUGCAUACAGAUCAAUUUUACCAAUGCCUGAGGGGGAAAACGUAAAAUAACGCUGACUACUACAGGUGCUUAGGGUGCACCACAUGCAGCCAUAUGAUCCAGGGUAGGUAAUUUCAUCACCCUCAUUUGGGAAAAUCAUACAAAAUUGACCAACUGCAUGACUCAAUCUGUAAUUUAAAGGAUUGUAUGCACCUGUGGGUUAGCAUAUAUUGGAAUGACUAAAAAUAGUCUCAGGGAAUGUUUUGCUAAUCACAGGACAUUCAUCCGCAAUGUAUGCAAGGGCGUCAGGGAAGCCCCAACAGUGGCAAGAUAUUUUGCACAGAUGGGCCAUCAGCUGGCCACUUUGAUGUUUACAGGGAUCGACCAAGUCCCAGUUCCAUGCAGGGGUGGAGAGAGCGACUUGGAAUUGACCAAAAAAGAAGCAUAUUAAAGUUUUAAGUUGGACACUGUGUCUCCGAAGGGUCUUAAUGAGAGGAUUUCCCUUCUUACCUAAGAGACUAAUUAUUUACUGUCUUGUUCAGAUCAUAGAAUGUAAUUUGGUUUGUUUACUGCAUGCUGCUUUUUGCUUCACAUUGGUAAGGUAUUUAGUUUUCAGCAGUUUAGGUGGUCUACUCCUACAUGACGCGAGUUGCCUCCGUUAGUUAGUUUGUUACAUAUUAUGUUAAAGGGAUUCUAUAGUGCCCGGAAAACAAACGUGUUUUCCCGGCACUGUAGAAUCCAACAGUUCCCCCCUCCCUCUCACACCCCAUCCCACGUUGCUGAGGGGGUUAAAACCCCUUCAGUUACUCACCUGAAUACAGCGCCAAUGUAUACAGUUACUCACCUGAAUACAGCUCCGUUCACGCUCCUCCCCCGCCGACAUCAGCUGCCAGGGGAGACCUAAUGCGCAUGAGUGGCAAUGGCCACCUUCGCAAUAGGGUUUCCCUAUAGGAAAGCAUUAUGCAAUGCUUUCCUAUGGAGAUUCCGGUGACGCUGGAAGUCCUCAUGCAGAGCGUGAGGAUGUCCAGCGUUGUUUAGACAACCAACAGUCGUCUAAAUACCCGGAAGUCCCCACAGUGGCUGUCUGGUAGACUUAGCCCUGCAAAGUAAUUAUUGCAGUUUCUCAGUAAUUAUUGCAGAUUCUCAGAAACUGCAAUGAUUACCACUGUAGAGUUAAGAGACAUGGGACAUUGCACCCAGACCACUUCAAUGAGCUGAAGUGGUCUAGGUGCCAACAGUGUCCCUUUAAGUGCCUGUAUACAUGUUCUGAAGCUAUGUUCAUUAAGUGUGGUGGUAACUAGCCCUGGUAAUUUUUGUGUUAAUAUGUUUUUACUAUGUAACAUUGGCAUUUCUAUCUAUAUGAUGUGCUUAGGAUGUUACUUGUAUUUUCACCUUUUCAUUGAUCUGUAUGGAUGACUGGUAUAUAGAACUUUGCUGCACAUAUCAGAUUCUACUUUAUACGUUACCGUUAUGCAUUACAGGGGGGAAAAAAGUAUUUGAUCCCCUGCUGAUUUUGAACGUUUGUCCACUGACAAAGAAAUGAUCAGUCUAUAAUUUUAAUGGUAGAUGUAUUUUAACAGUGAGAGACAGAAUUAAAAAAAAUCCUGAAAAAUACAUGUCAAAAAAGUCAUAAAUUGAUUUGCAUGUCAAUUAAUGAAAUUAGUAUUUGAUCACCUAUCAAUCAGCAAGAUUUCUUGCUCCCAGGCGUCUUUUAUACAGGUAACAAGCUGAGAUUUGGAGCACUCCAUUUAAGAGAGUGCUCCUAAUCUCAGCUCGUUACCUGUAUGAAAGACACCUGUCCACAGAAUCAAUCAAUAAAUCAGAUUCCAAACUCUCCACCAAAGAGCUGUCCAAGGAUGUCAGGGACAAGACUGUAGACCUACACAAGGCUGGAAUGGGCUACAAGACCAUCGCCAAGCAGCUUGGUGAGAAGGUGACAACAGUUGGUGCGAUUAUUCGCAAAUGUAAGAAACACAAAAUAACUGUCAGUCUCCCUUGGUCUGGUCUUCCAUGCAAAAUCUCACCUCGUGAAAUGUCAAUGAUCAUAAGAAUGGUGAGGAAGCAGCACAGAACUACACAGGAGGAUCUUGUUAAUGAUCUCAAGGCAGCUGGGACCACAGUCACCAAGAAAACAAUUGGCAACACACUACGCUGUGAAGGACUGAAAUCCUGCAGCACCUGCAAAGUCCCCCUGCUCAAGAAAACACAUGUACAGGCCUGUCUGAAGUUUGCCAACGAACAUCUGAAUGAUUCAGAGGAGAACUGGGUGAAAGUGUUGUGGUCAGAUGAGACCAAAAUCAAGCUCUUUGGCAUCAACUCAACUUGCCGUGUUUGGAGGAGGAGGAAUGCUGCCUAUGACCCCAAGAACACCAUCCCCACCGUCAAACAUGGAGGUGGAAACAUUAUGCUUUGGGGGUAUUUUUCUGCUAAGGGGACAGAACAACUGCACCACAUCAAAGGGACGAUAGACAGGGCCAUAUACCGUCACAUCUUGGGGGGAACCUCCUUCCCUCAGCCAGGGCAUUGAAAAUGGGUCUUAGAUGGUUAUUCCUGCAUGACAAUGACCCAAAACACACAGCGAAAGCAACAAAGAGGUGGCUCAAGAAGAAGCACAUUAAGGUCUUGGAGUGGCCUAGCCAGUCUCCAGACCUCAAUCCCAUAAAAAAAUCUGUGGAGGGAGCAGAAGGUUGGAGUUGCCAAACGUCAGCCUCGAAAACUUAAUGACUUGGAGAGGUGUGGGAGAAAAUCCCUCCUGAGAUGUGUGCAAACCUGGUGGCCAACUACAAGAAACGUCUGCCCUCUGUGAUUGCCAACAAGGGUUUUUCCACCAAGUACUAAGUCAAAGGGGUCAAGUACUUAUUUUACUUAUUACAUGCAAAUCAAGUUAUAACUUUUUUGACACGCGUUCUGGAUUUUUUAUGGGGGUUAUUCUGUCUCUUACUGUUAAAAUACACCUACCAUUAAAAUUAUAGACUGAUUAUUUCUUUGUCAGUGGGCAAACAUUCAAAAUCAGCAAGGGAUCAAAUACUUUUUUCCCUCACUGUAUACUUGUGUUUCAUGGUACUCAGUGGUAGUUUCUAUGGUGAUGGGGGUGGGGUGUUAAUUUCAUACUGAGGAUGAGGAGCCUAUUUUUCACUUUUGUAGAGUUUGCCCAGGAUAUUUAAAUCCAUUGUUUUGCUAUUGCUUGUUAUCCUGCUGAAAGUCCAGUUUCGAUAACAAGCAAUACAAUGGAUACAAACAAAUACUUAAGCAUAUUUGAGCAAGAUCAGUGAGUGCAUUAUCUUUCUUUAU
This 4707-nucleotide long non-coding RNA is filed under the name Pelobates cultripes (western spadefoot toad). The record is from RNAcentral. Lineage: Eukaryota; Metazoa; Chordata; Amphibia; Anura; Pelobatidae.